Gambusia affinis (western mosquitofish) is the source of this 4995-nucleotide long non-coding RNA. RefSeq lists it as uncharacterized. The record is from RefSeq and is a predicted model, not a curated record. Lineage: Eukaryota; Metazoa; Chordata; Actinopteri; Cyprinodontiformes; Poeciliidae. The transcript has 4 exons.
ACACAGAAACAUUUACCAGAUACGCGCGCUCCGCUACCCAUUUGUUGACACCAGGAGGAUAUAAAAUAAAUGUUCCGGUUCAUCGUAAAGCUACAUUUAUGCAAAUUAUCUAAUGCGCAGCGUUCAGUCUAUCCGCUCACCUGUAUAAAUACACCUGCAGCUCUUCCCCGCUGUUCGCUCUGAACCGCCACCAGGCAGCAGAAAAGCUGCUGUCAUUUUAGUCAUACAUGUUGCUGGAGAAGCGUGCGGUACCUACCGUGGCCACCAGGGGGCCCCAAGAGCAAUUUAUAAAAUUUGUUUUUUUUAUCAAUAAAAUUAUGAUUUCUACAUCAUUAUCAAAUAUAUAUUAUUGUUAAAACAAAUCAUUCAUAGUGAAAUUGUGUGCGUUUGAUAUUUUAAAGACAGAGAAAUUGUUACUAUAAGAAAAAAGAAUCCUCCCCUACGUGGCCUUGGGGCCCUAAGCGGUUGCUUAAUUUGCUUAUACCUUGGUCCGGCCCUGAAUGUAGGUAUUAUUAAUUUAGUGCUAUGAUCCACAGCAAAUGGAAAAACCGAAGCACAACUCUCAAUCACUUCUUUCUCACUCUGUGUUUUGGUCAAGCUACUCAGGUCUACUACUAGUUCUUGACGUCGGGGUGAACACCCUCACUUUUCCUGACUCCCUUUCCAAUAAAGGUCUGAGAGCAGCUAGUCCCUUUUUCUGCUUCACUCUGCUGACUGGAACCUUAUCCAAACUCCAGCUGCCUCACUGCCAGCUGCUCCCAGGUCAGUAAAGCUCACCUGGACAGGAUUUUUUCCCGCUAUAUUGCAAUUUGUGUUUUCCAAGGUGAAACAGGGUAGAAUGUAAAACUGUCCCUGAUUUUUUUGUGUCUCUGGUAUGUUAGGAAACAUUUUCUCUCACAUCUUGGUGAAAAACUCGAUUGAUCUUGUUGUGAGACCUGUCUGAUCUGAGUUUUUUCCACUAGCACCUCUACAGCUCAGCUGAACUCCACGGUUCAGGUGGUUUUCCACCAUAGUUGCGCAUCAGCCAUGGUGCGCAACUAUGGGGUAGUGGCUGGGUCCAACAUGUAGUGUGGCACCCAAAGUCUGGAAAAUAGUGAGAUGUGAUAUUAACUCAACACAAAAACAAAGGAAUCUGUGAUAAACUUUCUGCUCAGUAUGUGGCUUUUGGUAUAAUGCAAAAGAAAAGACCCAGGAAAGUCCUCAGGCAGCGAGAUACAGGAGAAUAUGAGCCACUUUAGUGAUACAAGCAGUGAAUUUAAUUUCUGGUCAGUCGUUGCGUUUUCUGCUUCAUUCUGCAUGCUUGUGUAACAUAGUUAAAAUGGUUCAGAUUAAAUCCUGCUAAAAUGCACCAUCUGCUGGUGUAACGGAGUAUUACAUUCACCCUAGAAAGAGCAGGGUAUUAUGGGUAAUCCUCAGAGCCACGAGGAUCACUGUCGAGGUAACGUGUCUCUGCAAUGUGAUAAAGAAAUAUUAUAUAUAAAAUAUGUUUAUGUUUUUUUUUUUUUUGCAUAUUAUUGAAAUAUGUUUUAUGUAGGUCACACUGUUUUGCUCUUAUAUUGUUUUUGUUGCGUUUUAGAAAUGUUUAGUUCGUGAGAAAGUGUGGCGGGAAUUUCCCACAUAUUAACAUUAUGGCUGCUCCUUGCAGGAGCCUGUUUUAUGCUAGAGACUGACUUACCUCGAUGUCCAUGUGUGAAAUACAGGUAUGUUUUACUAAAUCUUGUAGCAGAUGGUUAAUAUAAGGCUGAGUUUUAUUUUAACAGUUUUAUAUGAAGAUAGGUUCAUUUGUGUUUUUGGUUUUUCAAGAUACAAGUUUAUAUAAACUAAAAUAUAAAAAUGGCAUACAGUAAAUAAAAUGUCAGCAUUUUAUUUUAUUUAUCAGAGCAUUUUAGUUAAUUGCUUUACUUUCUUUAAAAAAUGACACUCGCUGGUUGUUCCUUUAGUGUAAACUAAAUCCACUAUGCGAUCACUGUAAUUUUAAAUGAUUUUAUUUUAAUUACUGUAUUAUGGGUAAACCUCCGAGCCACGAGGAUCACUGUUGAGGAGUGUGUUUUAUGCUAGAGACUGACUUUACCUCGAUGCCCAUGUGUGAAAUACAGAUGGAGAAUUAAAGGAAACAACUGAUGCCAGCUUGAGCUCCUGUCAUUCAUUGUCACACUGAGAGAAGCCACCAGAUCCACAGAGGUCACACUUGGAACCCAAGAGAAAGAAAGGUAAAAACUCACUGUUUGUGGCUCAUGACACUGGGGACUACAUGGACUUCAUCACACCUGGCCAGCCCUAUAACUUCUCCGCCUUCGUGGUGCUGCUGCCUGCCUCUCUCAGUGGCAUGGAAGUGGCAUCUGCGGACAUCCACCAUCAAUCCUCUGGUCUCAUGUAUGAAACGUGUGCGUUUUCAUGAGGUAAGUGUGCAGUUUCAUGUCUUAUAUUUGUGUUUGUGUUGGUUGUUGGCCCGGGAGGUGAGGACGUCCUCGUGUUUCUCUGGCUGCCAACAAUGCAGGUGUAACCCAGGAUUUAAAAAACACAAGUAAAACACAAUAUAUGUUGAUUUAAUGUCUUCUUCUACAAUAAGAGUUAAAAAGUAUCCAUCGAUCUUCUUCCGCUUAUCCGGGGUCGGGUCAUGGGGUAGCAGCUUCAGAAGGGAGGCCCAGACUUCCCUCUCCAGUCUCUUCUUCCAGCUCCUCCGGAGGAAUCCCAAGGCGUUCCCAGGCCAGCAGAGAGACAUUGUCCCUCCAGCGUGUCCUGGGUCUUCCCCGGGGUCUCCUCCCGGUGGGACAUGCCCGGAACACCUCACCAGGGAGGCGUCCAGGAGGCAUCCUGACCAGAUGCCCGAGCCACCUCAACUGGCCCCUCUCGACGUGGAGGAGCAGCGGCUCUACUCUGAGUCCCUCCCAGAUGACUGAGCUUCUCUCUCUAAGGGAGAGCCCAGACACUCUGCGGAGAAAACCCAUUUCGGUGCGGUGGUCCCCAACCUUUUUAUUACCACGGACCGGUCAAGACUUGGCAAUUUUGCUGCGGCCCAGAGGGAGGAGGAGGGAGACCGUCAGAUAAUGCUUCUGCAUUUUGCCGUUCCAACUAAAGCCCUUUUUAUGCCCUGAUUUUUACUUUACGAUAAUCUUACAAUGUCUUGCAGUGUGAGGUGUGUUACUUGGUGGUGUUUUUGAAUAUGUCCAAUCUGUGGCUCUUUGGUAGAGUAGUCUUCUUGCAUUUGGAAGGUUGUAGGUUCGAUUCCAGUUUCCUCCUGCCACAUGUUGAUGUUCCUCUGGGCAAAGCACUUAAUCCCAAACUGCCUACCGUAUCGGUGUAUACAUAGAACGGACAUAUUUAAUUAUUUCUUGCGUGGCCUAGUACCAAUUGGUCCACGUGGACUGGUACCGUGGGCCCAUGGUGGCACAACUGGCGUAAAGUUGUGCUGUAGCUUUAAAAAAAAAUUCAGGUUUGAGUGUCUGAGUCCUUCCUGCUAAGUCAGAGUUAGCUUUCCGAUAGCGUUGAAUUCACUCCAUGAGAGACUGGCAUGUUCGACUAAUGAUUCCAAAUUGGUGCCUCAGUUAAACUUAAAGAAAUCAUCUCAUUAGUAAUUUUGUUGACAUUAAAUUAUUGAUCCUAAUUAUUAAUAAUCACACAAGCCAAAAAUUGGUGCGAUGCCUGAUUCCUAACAAUAGUUUGUUCUGCAGGUUAUUUGACCAAUUGACUAGACUAGAAAACUUAAUGUCUCAGUAAAACCUGCAACGUUUAUGGUGGCAGUCUUCUCCUGAUGUUUGGGAACAUCUGCCAGGUAAUCAGGAUAAGUCAGCCAGGUAGGCAAAUCAGUGGAAGAUAAAAGCCACCAAAAUCAAAUGUAGAUUUUAUUGAAACUAAAAGAUAGAACAAUAAAAAUCUGACCUGUAGUAACAAAUGUUUGCAUAUUUAAACAUUUAUCAACCAAAUCUAAAAAGAAUUUCAAUGCCGAGUUCUUCAGGGCCGAUGCCUCGACUCUUCCAGUUCAUUCUGCCUGAAAUGGUUGGUUCUCAUUUACACAAAGGUUCCUACAACAACAGCUUCACACCAGGUCUGAAAAAAGAAAAAAUAUUCAUAAAAUCCUAAAUUCAACGCAAUGGGUAUGUCAACAGGUGGGGUGGACCACCAGAGGGCGCCACUGAGGAAUGUCAUGAUGGAGGCUGCGUUCACGUUUGUUCUGGUUUUAAAAAUAAAAUCUGUUGUCUCUCAGUCCGAAUGUCUGUCCACAGGAAGUCAAGCAAAGGCAUCACCUCCGCUGAUUGGACAGCCUGCUGCGGAGGGGCGGGACUUUGGAUAGCACCCUGUGAGGGGGGGCUGUCAUGGUCAUCACACUCUUCCUGUUUGGAGAUAGACUUGUUGCCAUGGUGAUGGCAGGUAAGGUGGGGGACGGGAUCCCUGUAGAAGUCACCAAAACUGGAGGUGGGCUGGUGGUUGCCAUAGAAACAGGCUUGGCUAGGGAGGUCUGGAUGUCCGCCCGGCGAGCCAACGCAGCCCUCAGCUUCUCCCGCAUCUGAUCAAUCUGCUGCUGCAGCGCCGCCAAUUCUGCAGGAAGGGGCGUGGCCACCACCGGAAGGGGCGUAGCCGUAUCGGGAACGGGCGGGGUUGCAUCAGGAAGGGGUUGGGAUAUUAUUGGAAUGGGAGGAGUAACACCAGGAAGGGGCGGGGCAUUGGUCCUCACAGAGGAAGAGGAGGGCAGUGAGAGCACCAGACUGGCCAAUGAAGCUGCCGGUCCCCCAUUCUCACAUAGCCGGCUGCUUGGCCCCGCCCCUGGUUUCAUGGGUCCCGCCCUGUCACCCUUAGCCCCGCCCCCCUUCGCCUCUGAGACCGCCAGGCGGGCCAGCAGGCGCCGUGUGUUCAGGGUCUCCAGACUGAAGUGAACUCGCUUGAAGUCUCGAGCAUCUGCAGCAGCUGGAGUUUCCUUCCUGGACUCGUCGUCCCACCUGGCAGCGGCAGUGGGUACUGAGGGUCCCGGGGGUACCCAGGGACUCGCGGGGCCCUGCC